Molecule: ribosomal RNA, 254 nt
Filed under: uncultured bacterium
Lineage: Bacteria
Description: partial 16S ribosomal RNA
Rfam family: Bacterial small subunit ribosomal RNA
Source: RNAcentral
GACGUAGGGCGCGAGCGUUGUCCGGAUUUAUUGGGCGUAAAGAGCUCGUAGGCGGUGUGUCACGUCGUUCGUGAAAACCUGCAGCUUAACUGUGGGCGUGCGGUCGAUACGGGCAUCACUGGAGUUCGGCAGGGGAGACUGGAAUUCCUGGUGUAGCGGUGAAAUGCGCAGAUAUCAGGAGGAACACCGGUGGCGAAGGCGUGUCUCUGGGCCGAUACUGACGCUGAGGAGCGAAAUCGUGGGGAGCAAACAGG